CAAAAACUUGUCAUGUUUCUUGUUUAGGCGAACUGUCAAAACAAUCAGCUGAUUCUGCAAAUUACAAACGUGGACUUUCAACAGCAGAAACGUUGUGGCUCGUUGAGAUUGGUGAAACGUCUAUCAGGAAUUUAAAAGUAAUAAAUAAUAGACUUGUCUAGUCUGGUUAACCAGACAAGUUUCCAAAACUCGUCUAUAACCUAAGGAUGUCGCAACAAUCAAAACCAACGGAGGAGAAGGCAAAUGACAUUUUAUCUAAUAAGAUGAUAAAACAAGCUGAUGCACCCAAAGAUAUCGCUUUUAUCCAAGCAGAAGGUUGCUCCUCUUCUGAGACUGAAGUGAAACAACCCCCUCAACCUGAAAUAAUUUUGCCAAACACGGUUAGGGAGGAGGGAACAGUAGAUGAGGAAGUAAGAGGGCAAAAGCGAAAAGUAGAAGAAGAAGGUGAAGUUGAUGAAAGAAAUGAAAUACUUGCCGAAGAACUGCUUCAUAGGAACGCAGAAGAGGAACUGUUAAAGACAAAAAUUGACGAGCUCAAAAGGGAGCAAGAAAAAGCCAAAAGGACGCGACUAGAGGUCGCCUCCAUUUUGGAAGAUAUGGUAGAGGAGGAAAAUCGUUGUAAUAAUUUAUUAAAAAUUAUUAAUACGUAUAAUUUUUGUAAUAAAUAAUGUCCAAUAA
Tribolium castaneum (red flour beetle) is the source of this 678-nucleotide RNA transcript. RefSeq lists it as uncharacterized. NCBI's taxonomy places the organism in Eukaryota, Metazoa, Arthropoda, Insecta, Coleoptera, Tenebrionidae. The transcript is spliced from 2 exons. The record is from RefSeq and is a predicted model, not a curated record.